Molecule: long non-coding RNA, 1033 nt
Filed under: Ailuropoda melanoleuca (giant panda)
Lineage: Eukaryota; Metazoa; Chordata; Mammalia; Carnivora; Ursidae
Description: lncRNA (ENSAMEG00000027278.1)
Source: RNAcentral
GGGUAAAGAAAUAGCAGUGAGACUACACAGAUUUGCAAUGUAAUUAAAACUCUCCUUAAGCUUAAGCUGACUUUUGACAACUUUGGAGAAGUUUAUAAGUCUGUGUCUCCUUAAGGCAAAAGCACUGGUUUGUCUUGAAAUUACCAUAUAGUUCUCCUACGUUAAUUUUUCAAUAAACUCGAUAAUGCCUCCAUUCCCACUAUGCAUGGAGUUAAUGACUGCUCUCUCAAAAAGGGCGUGUAGCCCUGUCCUCAACAGUCAGUCAGCCUCAAGAAAUUCUCUGUCACGGAAAAGUGGAAGUAAGACUAAUUCCCUGUCCGUGAAAAUGGGAGGUCUUUUUUCCUUCUGAUCACCACAUUUUUCAGGAUUUAGCUGACAAAGCAUCCUGAGGAGCGCACGGUGGCGAACCAGUAAUCUUCACAAGCUGCCAACUCUGGCCUAACGGUUUAGGACAGAUCCGCCACCGGCGUCCUGCCACCCCACACAGCAGCCCUUACUCACGGACCCUGACUGACGUGGGCGGUCUGUCGCCCUCCGAAUGCCUCUUCACUCCCGAGGAGCCCUCCCUCCCUCCCGGCUCAGCUCCAUGCACCUGAGGAGAUGGACCAGGGCAUCAGUGUGCUUUCCUCUCCGCGCCUCCGCAAGGCAAAGGGCACAAACCCAAGCCAGGACUGUUGUAAUCUGUAUGCCUCAGGAAUCCUGCCUGGAGACCUGGAGCCGAAGCAAGGUCUGGCCUCUGUUCUUUUUCUCCCAUCAGUGUGUAUAUGAAAGCAGUUAUGUUGGUCAUUGUUGGAGUAGGUCAUUGAGAGGAUGUGGCCACUGGUUGACCAUUAAGCUGGACCCAGGCUCCUCACUCCCUCCCCUAUCCUUGGAGUAUAUUCUGCUCACUGUUCCCACAGGGGGACACAUUUUCAAGAAUGAAGCCUUAAGAGAGAAAUGUAUGUUGAGACUAUCUGAAGAGUAUGUGUGAUGGAACCCAGGUAAGCCUUCUAUAUAAAUUUUUAGGACUCUGGCAGGUGGGUGCGGAGAUCUA